UACAGAGGGUGCGAGCGUUAAUCGGAAUUACUGGGCGUAAAGCGCACGUAGGUGGCGACGUAAGUCGGGUGUGAAAGCCCCGGGCUCAACCUGGGAAUUGCAUUCGAGACUGCAUUGCUGGAGUACGGAAGAGGAGGGCGGAAUUCCCGGUGUAGCGGUGAAAUGCGUAGAGAUCCGGAAGAACACCGGUGGCGAAGGCGGCCUGCUGGGCAGUAGCUGACGCUGAUGCGCGACAGCGUGGGGAGCAAACAGG
RNAcentral lists this ribosomal RNA (253 nucleotides) under uncultured bacterium. RNAcentral describes it as "partial 16S ribosomal RNA". It matches the Rfam family "Bacterial small subunit ribosomal RNA", at positions 524 to 776 of the family's 1533-position model. The record is from RNAcentral.